GACGAACGCUGGCGGCGUGCUUAACACAUGCAAGUCGAACGGAAAGGCCCUGCUUUUGUGGGGUGCUCGAGUGGCGAACGGGUGAGUAACACGUGAGUAACCUGCCCUUGACUUUGGGAUAACUUCAGGAAACUGGGGCUAAUACCGGAUAGGAGCUCCUGCUGCAUGGUGGGGGUUGGAAAGUUUCGGCGGUUGGGGAUGGACUCGCGGCUUAUCAGCUUGUUGGUGGGUAGUGGCUUACCAAGGCUUUGACGGGUAGCCGGCCUGGGAGGGUGACCGGCCACAUUGGGACUGAGAUACGGCCCAGACUCCUACGGGAGGCAGCAGUGGGGAAUAUUGCACAAUGGGCGGGAGCCUGAUGCAGCAACGCCGCGUGCGGGAUGACGGCCUUCGGGUUGUAAACCGCUUUCGCCUGUGACGAAGCGUGAGUGACGGUAAUGGGUAAAGAAGCACCGGCUAACUACGUG
RNAcentral lists this ribosomal RNA (467 nucleotides) under uncultured bacterium. Its description in RNAcentral is "partial 16S ribosomal RNA". It matches the Rfam family "Bacterial small subunit ribosomal RNA", at positions 28 to 507 of the family's 1533-position model. The record is from RNAcentral.